GGUUAAGCGAAUAAGCGUACACGGUGGAUGCCUAGGCAAUCAGAGGCGAUGAAGGACGUGCUAAUCUGCGAAAAGCGUCGGUAAGGUGAUAUGAACCGUUAUACCCGACGAUAUCCGAAUGGGGAAACCCAGUAUCCAAUGGAUACUAUCAUUAACUGAAUCCAUAGGUUAAUGAGGCGAACCGGGAGAACUGAAACAUCUCAGUACCCCGAGGAAAAGAAAUCAACCGAGAUUCCCCUAGUAGCGGCGAGCGAACGGGGAGCAGCCCAGAGUCUUAAUCAAUAGCAGUGUCAGGAGAACGGUCUGGAAAGUCCGGCAGUAAAGGGUGAUAGCCCCGUAUCUGAAGAUGCUGUUGUUGUGAACUCGACGAGUAGGGCGGGACACGUGUUAUCCUGUCUGAAUAUGGGGGGACCAUCCUCCAAGGCUAAAUACUCCUGAUUGACCGAUAGUGAACCAGUACCGUGAGGGAAAGGCGAAAAGAACCCCGGCGAGGGGAGUGAAAAAGAACCUGAAACCGUGUACGUACAAGCAGUAGGAGCCUCUUUAUGGGGUGACUGCGUACCUUUUGUAUAAUGGGUCAGCGACUUAUAUUCUGUAGCAAGGUUAACCGCAUAGGGGAGCCGUAGGGAAACCGAGUCUUAACUGGGCGAAUGAGUUGCAGGGUAUAGACCCGAAACCCGGUGAUCUAUCCAUGGGCAGGUUGAAGGUUGGGUAACACUAACUGGAGGACCGAACCGACUAAUGUUGAAAAAUUAGCGGAUGACUUGUGGAUGGGGGUGAAAGGCCAAUCAAACCGGGAGAUAGCUGGUUCUCCCCGAAAGCUAUUUAGGUAGCGCCUCGUGAACUCAUCUUCGGGGGUAGAGCACUGUUUCGACUAGGGGGUCAUCCCGACUUACCAACUCGAUGCAAACUGCGAAUACCGAAGAAUGUUAUCACGGGAGACACACGGCGGGUGCUAACGUCCGUCGUGAAGAGGGAAACAACCCAGACCGCCAGCUAAGGUCCCAAAGUCAUGGUUAAGUGGGAAACGAAGUGGGAAGGCUCAGACAGCCAGGAUGUUGGCUUAGAAGCAGCCAUCAUUUAAAGAAAGCGUAAUAGCUCACUGGUCGAGUCGGCCCGCGCGGAAGAUGUAACGGGGCUAAACCAUGCACCGAAGCUGCGGCAGCGACACGUAGUGUUGUUGGGUAGGGGAGCGUUCUGUAAGCCUGCGAAGGUGUACUGUGAGGUAUGCUGGAGGUAUCAGAAGUGCGAAUGCUGACAUAAGUAACGAUAAUGCGGGUGAAAAACCCGCACGCCGGAAGACCAAGGGUUCCUGUCCAACGUUAAUCGGGGCAGGGUGAGUCGACCCCUAAGGCGAGGCUGAAAAGCGUAGUCGAUGGGAAACGGGUUAAUAUUCCCGUACUGGUGGUAACUGCGAUGGGGGAACGGAGAAGGCUAGGUUGUCCGGGCGACGGUCGUCCCGGUUCAAGCAGGUAGGCAGAGUGAUUAGGCAAAUCCGGUCACUUAAUGCUGAGAUGUGAUGACGAACCACCAAGGUGGUGAAGCAAUUGAUGCCCCGCUUCCAGGAAAAGCCUCUAAGCUUCAGGUUACCAACAAUCGUACCCCAAACCGACACAGGUGGUCAGGUAGAGAAUACUCAGGCGCUUGAGAGAACUCGGGUGAAGGAACUAGGCAAAAUGGUGCCGUAACUUCGGGAGAAGGCACGCUGGCGGUAGGUAAAGUCCCUCGCGGACGGCGCUGAAGCCAGUCGAAGAUACCAGCUGGCUGCAACUGUUUAUUAAAAACACAGCACUGUGCAAACACGAAAGUGGACGUAUACGGUGUGACGCCUGCCCGGUGCUGGAAGGUUAAUUGAUGGGGUCAGCCGUAAGGCGAAGCUCCUGAUCGAAGCCCCAGUAAACGGCGGCCGUAACUAUAACGGUCCUAAGGUAGCGAAAUUCCUUGUCGGGUAAGUUCCGACCUGCACGAAUGGCGUAAUGAUGGCCAGGCUGUCUCCACCCGAGACUCAGUGAAAUUGAACUCGCUGUGAAGAUGCAGUGUACCCGCGGCAAGACGGAAAGACCCCGUGAACCUUUACUAUAGCUUGACACUGAACAUUGAGCCUUGAUGUGUAGGAUAGGUGGGAGGCUUUGAAGUGUGGACGCCAGUCUGCAUGGAGCCAACCUUGAAAUACCACCCUUUAACGUUUGAUGUUCUAACCUAGGCCCAUAAACUGGGUCGGGGACCGUGUCUGGUGGGUAGUUUGACUGGGGCGGUCUCCUCCUAAAGAGUAACGGAGGAGCACGAAGGUUGGCUAAGCAUGGUCGGACAUCAUGCGGUUAGUGCAAAGGCAUAAGCCAGCUUGACUGCGAGAGUGACGGCUCGAGCAGGUACGAAAGUAGGUCUUAGUGAUCCGGUGGUUCUGAAUGGAAGGGCCAUCGCUCAACGGAUAAAAGGUACUCCGGGGAUAACAGGCUGAUACCGCCCAAGAGUUCAUAUCGACGGCGGUGUUUGGCACCUCGAUGUCGGCUCAUCACAUCCUGGGGCUGAAGUAGGUCCCAAGGGUAUGGCUGUUCGCCAUUUAAAGUGGUACGCGAGCUGGGUUUAGAACGUCGUGAGACAGUUCGGUCCCUAUCUGCCGUGGGCGUUGGAAGAUUGAGAGGGGUUGCUCCUAGUACGAGAGGACCGGAGUGAACGCACCACUGGUGUUCGGGUUGUCAUGCCAAUGGCAUUGCCCGGUAGCUAAGUGCGGAAGAGAUAACCGCUGAAAGCAUCUAAGCGGGAAACUUGCCUCGAGAUGAGUCUUCCCUGUCACUUUAAGUGACCUAAAGGAACGUUUAAGACUAAGACGUUGAUAGGCUGGGUGUGUAAGCGUAGCGAUACGUUGAGCUAACCAGUACUAAUGAACCGUGAGGCUUAACCUG
This 2903-nucleotide ribosomal RNA is filed under the name Proteus mirabilis. Its description in RNAcentral is "23S ribosomal RNA". It matches the Rfam family "Bacterial large subunit ribosomal RNA". Lineage: Bacteria; Pseudomonadati; Pseudomonadota; Gammaproteobacteria; Enterobacterales; Morganellaceae. The record is from RNAcentral.